Rhineura floridana is the source of this 481-nucleotide long non-coding RNA. RefSeq lists it as uncharacterized. NCBI's taxonomy places the organism in Eukaryota, Metazoa, Chordata, Lepidosauria, Squamata, Rhineuridae. The record is from RefSeq and is a predicted model, not a curated record. The transcript is spliced from 4 exons.
CACCAUUACCUUUCAAUAAGGGAAGAUGUGUCUUGUGGAAAAUGUGGUUAUAUCGAGCUUCUGAGCUGAAAUACAAAGGACUCAAGAGUGAAGGAAAGAAGACUCUGCCUUCUUCAAAGAGACCAUCAGAACAUCAAGUCCAAAGUUGAAGCAGCCUCAUAAAGAAACCUUCAGCCGGGGCCGGAUUCUGCAAACAGUUGAGUGGGAAGAUGACUGCAGCAGCUCUUCAUCAAGAGCAAGAAAUCAACUUUUCCUGGGGAAGCAGAGAAGUCAUCAGCACAAAGCUUGCAAAGCAAGAGGUAGCUGUAGGAUUCCUUCAUGGGAGAAAAGAAACACAAGCCACAAAUCCAGAGACACGCUGCAGACCACCUGAAUGAUGCUCGUGGACCACAGGUGGUCGACGGACCACAGGUUGGGACCCCUGGCCUAAAACAUUUAUCCAUUGGUUCAUGCCUGCUUUCUUGUCCUAAAUAAAAUUCUC